CCUGUAACAAUAUCCUGAUGCUGCCUGAGUGUGCAUCUGCUACUCCAGCAUCAGUGAUUUUGUUGCCGG
This 69-nucleotide microRNA precursor is filed under the name Astyanax mexicanus (Mexican tetra). RNAcentral's name for it is "mir-338 microRNA precursor family". It matches the Rfam family "mir-338 microRNA precursor family". Lineage: Eukaryota; Metazoa; Chordata; Actinopteri; Characiformes; Acestrorhamphidae. The record is from Rfam by way of RNAcentral.